RNAcentral lists this ribosomal RNA (1308 nucleotides) under Craspedacusta sowerbii. RNAcentral's name for it is "SSU rRNA". The stretch from base 1 to 897 matches the Rfam family "Eukaryotic small subunit ribosomal RNA", at positions 288 to 1831 of the family's 1831-position model. The record is from RNAcentral. Lineage: Eukaryota; Metazoa; Cnidaria; Hydrozoa; Limnomedusae; Olindiidae.
CGAUGUUUCGUUCAAAUUUCUGCCCUAUCAACUGGCGAUGGUAAGGUAGUGGCUUAACAUUGUUGUAACGGGUGACGGAGAAUUAGGGUUCGAUUCAGGAGAGGGAGCCUGAGAAAUGGCUACCACAUCUAUUGAAGGCAGAAGGCACGAAAAUUAACCAAUCCCGACUCGGGGAGGUAGUGACAAGAAAUAACCUUACGGGGCCUUUAUAGGUCUCGCAAUUGGAAUGAGUACAAAUUUAAAUCCUUUAACGAGGAUCAAUUGGAGGGCAAGUCUGGUGCCAGCAGCCGCGGUAAUUCUAGCUCCAAUAGCGUAUAUUAAAGUUGUUGCAGUUAAAAAGCUCGUAGUUGGAUUUCGGAAUGGGCCAGUUGGUCCGCCCUCACGGUGUGCUACUUGCUUGUCCGUUCUUCUUCGCAAAGACUGCGUGUGCUCUUCAGUGAGUGUGCGUAGGAUUUGUGACGUUUACUUUGAAAAAAUUAGAAAAAUUAGUGCUCAAAGCAGGCGUUGUGCUUGAAUACAUGAGAAUGGAAUAAUGGAAUAUGACUUUGGUCUUAUUUUGUUGGUUUCUAAGACCGAAGUAAUGAUUGAGAGGGACAGUUGGGGGCAUUCGUAUUUCGUUGUCAGAGGUGAAAUUCUUGGAUUUACGAAAGACGAACAACUGCGAAAGCAUUUGCCAAGAAUGUUUUCAUUAAUCAAGAACGAAAGUUAGAGGAUCGAAGACGAUCAGAUACCAUCCUAGUUCUAACCAUAAACGAUGUCGAAUAGGGAUCAGCGGGCAUUAUAUACGACCUGGUUGGCCCCUUACGGGAAACCAAAGUCUUGGGAUUCCGGGGGAAGUAUAGUUGCAAAGUCGAAAAUUGCGACUGUAAGGAAACGAGAGGCAUACCAGGAUAUUCUUAAAAAGUUGAAGGCUGAGGAUGCGACGACCCCAGGCGAUGAGCGUAAUGAACUACCACUGGGUAGCAACAGCGAUGAUACGCCCAACCUCGAAAAAGCGAAAGAAAAGCUUGACGCAUGGGUUAAAGCAUCAGAACAGUCUAACAACCCGGAAACCUGCCUUGUAAGGCAUUACGUACUGUCCUCAGGAAAAGGAAUUGACAACUGGCAAGCCACAAAAGCGUCCUUUUUCCCGCGCCAGUUCGCAGAAAGAGAAUAUACCGAUUUAGAAGGGUCUGCUAUCGAGGAUGCAGUCAUGCGCAAAGGGGGCUUAAAUCGACGGCAACGAAGAUUAAAAGCCACCCAAUGCUGAUUUGAAAUGAACAAGUCGGAAACACUAAAACGUAUUUUAGAUGGGACGUUUGACUUUGA